UUGGAGGGCAAGUCUGGUGCCAGCAGCCGCGGUAAUUCCAGCUCCAAUAGCGUAUAUUAAAAUUGUUGCAGUUAAAAAGCUCGUAGUUGAAUUUCGGGAUCAAUUUGCUGGUCGAGACCUCCGGUACGUACUUGUAUUAUUGAUUUCUUUCAUUCUGAUAAUCAUGGAUGUCAUUAAUUUGAUGACUAUGAGGAAUCGAAACUUUUACUUUGAAAAAAUUAGAGUGUUUAAAGCAGGCUUAUUAGGCUUGAAUACAUUAGCAUGGAAUAAUGAAAUAGGACGAUUGAUCCUAUUUUUGUUGGUUUCUAGGAUUAAACGUAAUGAUUAAUAGGGAUAGUUGGGGGCAUUAGUAUUCAAUUGUCAGAGGUGAAAUUCUUGGAUUUAUUGAAGACUAACUACUGCGAAAGCAUUUGCCAAGGAUGUUUUCAUUAAUCAAGAACGAAAGUUAGGGGAUCGAAGACGAUCAGAUACCGUCGUAGUCUUAACCAUAAACUAUGCCGACUAGGAAUCAGACGAUGUUAAUUUUUUAAUGACUCGUUUGGCACCUUACGGGAAACCAAAGUGUUUGGGUUC
RNAcentral lists this ribosomal RNA (573 nucleotides) under uncultured Glomeromycotina. Its description in RNAcentral is "bacterial SSU rRNA". It matches the Rfam family "Eukaryotic small subunit ribosomal RNA", at positions 548 to 1114 of the family's 1831-position model. Lineage: Eukaryota; Fungi; Glomeromycota. The record is from RNAcentral.